RNAcentral lists this ribosomal RNA (253 nucleotides) under uncultured bacterium. RNAcentral's name for it is "partial 16S ribosomal RNA". It matches the Rfam family "Bacterial small subunit ribosomal RNA", at positions 524 to 776 of the family's 1533-position model. The record is from RNAcentral.
UACAGAGGGUGCAAGCGUUAAUCGGAAUUACUGGGCGUAAAGCGUGCGUAGACGGUUAUGUAAGUCGGGUGUGAAAGCCCCGGGCUCAACCUGGGAAUGCCAUUCGAGACUGCAUAGCUAGGGUGCGGAAGAGGGAAGCGGAAUUUCCGGUGUAGCGGUGAAAUGCGUAGAUAUCGGAAGGAACACCAGUGGCGAAAGCGGCUUCCUGGUCCAGAACCGACGUUCAGGCACGAAAGCGUGGGGAGCAAACAGG